UACACUCCUACGGGAGGCAGCAGUGGGGAAUAUUGGACAAUGGGCGCAAGCCUGAUCCAGCCAUGCCGCGUGAGUGAUGAAGGCCCUAGGGUUGUAAAGCUCUUUCACCGGUGAAGAUAAUGACGGUAACCGGAGAAGAAGCCCCGGCUAACUUCGUGCCAGCAGCCGCGGUAAUACGAAGGGGGCUAGCGUUGUUCGGAUUUACUGGGCGUAAAGCGCACGUAGGCGGACUAUUAAGUCAGGGGUGAAAUCCCGGGGCUCAACCCCGGAACUGCCUUUGAUACUGGUAGUCUUGAGUUCGAGAGAGGUGAGUGGAAUUCCGAGUGUAGAGGUGAAAUUCGUAGAUAUUCGGAGGAACACCAGUGGCGAAGGCGGCUCACUGGCUCGAUACUGACGCUGAGGUGCGAAAGCGUGGGGAGCAAACAGGAUUAGAAACCCUAGUAGUCCCA
This 449-nucleotide ribosomal RNA is filed under the name uncultured organism. Its description in RNAcentral is "partial 16S ribosomal RNA". It matches the Rfam family "Bacterial small subunit ribosomal RNA", at positions 332 to 797 of the family's 1533-position model. The record is from RNAcentral.